Molecule: non-coding RNA, 398 nt
Organism: Pogona vitticeps (central bearded dragon)
Lineage: Eukaryota; Metazoa; Chordata; Lepidosauria; Squamata; Agamidae
Source: RefSeq, a predicted model, not a curated record
CCUGGUUUAGCCUAAGACACAGAUACAGUAGGUACCGGCAUGAGUGUGAAGUGGCUAUCAUCAGGGUGAGAAGGAUACAAUGGAGGAUCUUAGCGCAUCUGUCCCCUUUGGAAAGACCCAAGAGAUCUGAAACAGCAAAAUCGAACAAGAUGCUUGGCCAAAGAGCCAGACAGUUUGGUGGCUGAACACGGAGACCUUCGUUCCUGAAGUACAUAGGGACCCUCAUCAACAUGCCGCAGCACCUUCAAAAAGUGUGAACCAGCACACGACCUUAAACAUCUGGCUUCCAAGGAUGCGUCAAAAAUCCCCUGACCUGAACUUUGCCCAAAUGAAGGCCAUAGAGAUGAGGGCUGACCCACUCUUUCAGAGACACUCAGACCCAAUCUGUGACUGGACUC